GGUUUUAACCCAGUAACCAAGGUUAGCUGUCGUUUCGAACUCUCGAAAGAGUGUCGAAUAACUAAAAUUUCUGGAAACACUUCUUCGGGGUUAUCCGAUGAGGCAGA
Molecule: small RNA, 107 nt
Filed under: Caenorhabditis brenneri
Lineage: Eukaryota; Metazoa; Nematoda; Chromadorea; Rhabditida; Rhabditidae
Description: snRNA CBN33764
Rfam family: SL2 RNA
About the family: This family represents SL2 RNA. SL2 RNA is involved in trans splicing in lower eukaryotes.
Source: Rfam by way of RNAcentral